Long non-coding RNA from Siniperca chuatsi (mandarin fish), 2484 nucleotides. RefSeq lists it as uncharacterized. The record is from RefSeq and is a predicted model, not a curated record. The transcript is spliced from 2 exons. NCBI's taxonomy places the organism in Eukaryota, Metazoa, Chordata, Actinopteri, Centrarchiformes, Sinipercidae.
UAAGAAUGAUGGCCAAAAUUAUGAACACAGAACCCAAGUCGUAAUAAACCAGAACUCUCCUUAAAACAAACAACUGCAACCUUGGCUGACAAAGUUGAGUUACUGCUAACCUUGUCAACACCAUAACUGAACUAUUACCUAAACCACAUUUUUCAAGGAAGUUUAGUUCUUGUGAACUUGAAAAUGUCUUGAGUCCUUUUCAUAAUAUCAAGAUCAAUGUAAAGAUGAUAUCUAAGUGGAUUUACAAUCAGUAAAUGUGCACUCAGCGACACAAAGGUAUAGUCUGAGUGAAAUUCUAGGUUUGAAAUGCCAUCAGUAGAUUCAUAAAUGGCCGUUAACAGGAUUCCCAAGGUUAAUGUAGCAAAGAUAUCAGGAGCUGCAAAAGUAAAAGUGUAUCUUUAUAGCAACCUUCAUAAUUUCAUACAAACUCCUACUAUGGUAUGGAUAUUGUAUGAAUAAAUGAACACACACACACUUGCACACAGAAAUGUAGAGUAGCCAAGGCUGAAUCAGGCAAGUGGGAGGUGAGAUUUUAUAAAAGAGUGAUUUUAUCAGUCUUGCACCUUUCUCCUCCAUCUAUCCUGCCUUAGUCCUUUUCUCCUUCUCCUUCCUCCCCCCUGUCCUCCUCCUCCCCUCCUCCUUUCAUUGUGGACGGUGGUGAAAUAUCAGUAUUGUUUACGCAGAAGAUUAGGGCAGAAUUGGGCAGAAGGCAGUUGUUCUGUGACGAUGAAGAUAAGAUAAGGGAUGGUGGUGUGUGUGUCUGUGUGUGUGUGCCGUGCUACCCCGCCUUAUCUUGGCAGCAGGCGAAGCAGCCAUAUGAAGUUGUUCAUUGUAAUUACCCAUGGCAAGAGUAGAUUUCAUAGGGAGAUUUAGGGGAGAGAAUGACAGAAUGAAAUCAAGGGAGGGAAAAAGGAAAGAGAAGGUGAGAAAGGAAAAGAAAAGAAAAGGGGGAGUAUGAAGAAGCAAGGAGGGGUAUGGACAGUCACAAAUGCACACAUGCCAUUAAACACGCACCUCACUUUCUUUUCUGCUGUCUGCAGUCAUUCUGUCUGAGUAUUUUACUGCUCUCAUCUGUGAUAUCUCAAUGCUACCAUAUCUUAUGACCUUUUGUGAGUCUAACAUCUUAGCCACUGUUCUAAUAAUCAGCAUCUCAUGACUCAUCCCCAUCUUUCCUCCGUUAUUCAAUCAGUGAUCUUUUCUCUCGCUACCCGUCUAUUGCUCUCCACUGUAAUUAUCACACUGGAUGAGAAUGUCAGGUGCAGUCGACCAGAUAUUCAUCUUCAAAUGGAAAAUCAAUCCAGAAUCUGCUAAAAUGUAUUUACAUUUAUAAGGUUUCAUAAAACUUUUCAAUUCUUUACAUGCAUGCAAUGAUAUGAUUUUAUGAAAAACCUUUGACAUUAUACCUGAUGAGGUAAGCAAACAGCUUUCAGGCAUCUUCCUCAAUUUAAACUCUGGUUGUUCACAACUUUAUAGGGGAAAGCACCCAUAAAGCUAUAUUCAUACUUUCCACGUCCGCAUGUCCAUGAAGGUCCGCAUGACUUAAAUAUCGUCAUCCGCCCAUCUCCGCGAGGGUCAGCGCAGCCCGAAAUUUGUGACUGCACGGACUGUACGCAUAGCAAGUGCGCCGACUGCGCAUGCUCCAGAUAAUGGCGCAAUGGAGUGGGUCCGAAUGUAGUUGAAGUAAUUGCUGCUGGACUUUGGAGGUGCCCAGAUUUGCACAUGCUUUCCAUCGAUGGCGUCCAAACAAAGUGGAAAGUUCCAAAUCAUCCAGAAAUCUUGUGCUAUGUCCACCCACUGUGCUUGGAACGAAGGCAACAAACUCCAGCUGCAGGCUCCUCCUUAGAGCUUGGCACACCUCAGGAACAAUCAGUGACGCGUUGCUACAGCCCAACUGUAACUUGCCGCUAUAUUUUGCUGCAAAGAUCCUGAAGCGUGGAAGGCCACACCGACGCGGACCAUCAUUGUAGUAAGAAUGGAACUGUGUGCGUUUGCGGUUCGCAAAGUACGACCAAGCCUUAAGAAGAUACACCAUCCCUUCAACCACCAUCAAACUAGAGUGCUGAACCCACAAAAGGCUAAUCAGUGACUCUGAGAGGAUGCAGUAUGAGCCUGGAGUAUGAAGAUCUGUCCUUCCUCUAUGUUUCAUUAAAGUUUGUCAAGUUGUGUCUGAGAGUCAGGACAAUGAGUUGCAAGUAGAUGUUGCUUUGUGCUAAAGUGUGCUAAAGAAGCCCAAAAGAGUUGGGAGCCACUGAUCUUAAACAUCACUGACACAGAGAUGAACAUCAUUUACUGAUGAUUAUUAUUUUUUCCAUGGAAGAUUUGAUCUUUCGACCUUAUAGCAAUGGAUCAGAAUGAUAAACUUUUUCCGAAAAAUGUUCAUUUUAUUGUUAACCAUCUUUAUGUUUGACUUCCACAUGUGCAUUAAAAUUAGACACCAACGUCAGUUGAUUGUAUGCAUUAAUAAAGGCCAUGAGAUUUUGUGAA